AUGAAGGCUUCAGGUAGAGAAACAACAGAGGAAUUGAAAGGAAAAAGAAAGCUCUACACUGACAGAAGAAAUACAACCGUAGUAGUUGGGAGCCUGCUUUUCUGCACAUCCUGGAGGACAACUCAUCACCGGCAGCUGCAUGUUCAUCCAUCCUCCUGGGAGCUGGAUGACUUGGACGGGAGAAACAGCUGGUUUAUUAUCGUCUAUCUGCUGAAUCUGGAGGACCUGGCGGUCCGGGACGACGACACCGGGGACCCGUCGCCGCUCCGGAUCUCCCCCUCCCAGUCGUCCUGCACCUGGGUGGCGAACUGGAGGUUCCAGAGCACGUCCUCGACCGACGGCCGGUGCACCGCCUCCUUGGCCAGGCACCUCAGGCAGAUCUCCAUGACUGUCCUCAGUGAUUCUUCUGAACAGCUCUUGCUCACCGCCGGGUCCACGAAGCUCCUCCUCCUGGCCCUGUCCUCCUCGGCCAUUGCCCAUAGCAGCUGCAGCACAAACAAGAUUCAGACACAAGCUCAAGCAGGAUCACCCCGAAAUCAAAUAUGUCAAUCUUGUCGCCGAGCAUCGUGCUGCAAAGUAGCAUUGCGGAACAAGGAAAGAUGA
This 603-nucleotide ribosomal RNA is filed under the name Triticum aestivum (bread wheat). RNAcentral describes it as "partial small subunit ribosomal RNA". Lineage: Eukaryota; Viridiplantae; Streptophyta; Magnoliopsida; Poales; Poaceae. The record is from RNAcentral.